Molecule: transfer RNA, 63 nt
Filed under: Mantoniella antarctica
Lineage: Eukaryota; Viridiplantae; Chlorophyta; Mamiellophyceae; Mamiellales; Mamiellaceae
Source: RNAcentral
AAGAUUUGUCGCAGGGGUCAUCCGAAGUCGACCCAGAGGAUGGGCACUGGUCAGGUCGAUCUU